CAGAAACCCUAAAAAUAGACCCGAGAAAGGUUAUAUAAACCAUCGUCGAGUAAGUUCCAGGGUGCUCAUUUUCGUUCACUUUGCCUUCUCCUGCAAAUGUUUGUCCGAAGCCGACGCUCGAGGUUGAGGUUACCCUUGGAGGGCCUAGGCGAGGGUGGAUUCAGGCGACGAGGUGAUGGAGGACGGAGAAGAGGAAGCGGAGGCGGUGGAAGAGGUGGAGAAGGUGGUGUCAGAGGACGCGGCGGUGUCCGUGGCGGCAUAGGAGGCCGUGCGGGCUGAAUGGAAGGGGGUAAGUCAGGUAGUGAUCAAGCCUCACAGGUACGAAGGAGUGUUCAUCACUAAGGGGAAAGAAGAUUCUCUCGCCACUAAAAACUUGGUCCCCGGGCUGCAGUUCACGGUGAGAAGGGGUUCGUCUUGCAGAUAUUUUCUGAUGUUUCAGAGACUCGAAAAGGAUGGACUUCAUGACAAAGGUUGUUGGAUUCAGGUGCUUCAGGAUGUGUUGAAGUUAAUAGCAAUGAAAUGGGGGGAGCAAUAGAGUUUUCUUUUGUGUGAUUUUGAUAAAAUCUACUUCAACCAUCAAAACUGGAACACAUAGCAUUCAUUGAAGGAGUUAUUUUACUAUUCUACUGUUUAUUUGUAUACGUCAUAUUGCAUAGAUGCAGGCAUUUUGUAUAUUUUAGAUUUGUAUAUUGGAUCAAAUAUAGAUUUUUGUUUUUUUUGAUAGUAUUGUAAACCUAAAAAAGAUGUGUAAGGGUCCCCAAGACCAUGAAGUGGUUGUUGGGUCUGAUAGGGGUCUAUCGGUUGUAAGUGGGAGAUAUUCACCAUUAUAGAUAAAAACAUGUUACACAUUCAA
Macadamia integrifolia is the source of this 853-nucleotide long non-coding RNA. RefSeq lists it as uncharacterized. The record is from RefSeq and is a predicted model, not a curated record. The transcript has 3 exons. NCBI's taxonomy places the organism in Eukaryota, Viridiplantae, Streptophyta, Magnoliopsida, Proteales, Proteaceae.